This 1271-nucleotide long non-coding RNA is filed under the name Bemisia tabaci. RNAcentral describes it as "lncRNA ENSSSA1UGG006443". Lineage: Eukaryota; Metazoa; Arthropoda; Insecta; Hemiptera; Aleyrodidae. The record is from RNAcentral.
GCCAUAAUAGCGGAGCAUUCGGAUUGAGACAGGUGCCCCGUCUUUUUGAAACUCCCGCCAGAAUUUUGGCGGGAAAUAUCACAGUAUGUUACCUAAUAAGCAAAUCAAAAUAGCACUAGCAAUGCAAAUCUUGGUCACGACGAUUUCUAUCAAUGCAUCUUAAUUAGUGUUAUUUAUUAGAGGAUUUAUUUGCAUUAUUGUACAAGAAAUUGAAAACACUAUAUCGAGUCUGGGCUGAAGUAUUUAAUCAACGGAUUUUUCUCAAGUAACACGUGGCUUACUGUUUGUAGUAAAAAUUGGGAUCUUGCAAGAGUGCUCGUAAACAAACAAAACCAUUCUUGUCUUGUCUUGGCUGGUGUCUGGAACUUGAACUGCAUCAUUUUAUAUUUUUGGUUUUUCAUGUUAUAAUUUCAAGACAAGUCUUAAUUUCGUGUAACUUUAUUGCUGCUUUGUUUACAGUUCGCCGUGUCACGUGCCAAGCCACUUUGCAACCAACAAAAAAUUUCAAUUUGUCAGAAAACAUGUCGGAAAAAAUGACAGAAAACAAGUCCGAAGGAAAACCAAAUAAGGUAAGUAAUCAUUUUACUUAGCUUUCCUUCGUAGAAGUAAUGAAAUGAAUAAUCACUCAUUAAACUCAGACUAUUCUAACAGCUGUGUAAGACUUUAAAACCACCCAAGUAGCACAGAUUGCAAUAAGUAGCAAUUACAUGAUAAAAUUAUUACAAUUUCACUGAGUGUUGUGUAUUUUGCCUAGCUCCUAUUUGAAGAGGCCCCAUUUAUUGAAACUUAUUGCAAUAAAAUUGAAAUAAGUCACAAUUUCACAUUGUAACUUUUGCGUAUUGCCUAUAUUUCUGACACAUGGAGCUCAUUUUGUUGAUUGUUUAAAAUUGGCACAAAUCGACUAAAUGGUGUGUAAAUAUUGCAAUUUAAUGGUAAAAAAAUUAAAAUUUUAUUGAAAUCACAUUGCAAUUUCAUUUCAAUAUUUUCGUUGCACUGUGCUACUUGGGCAGUAGGUAUCAUCAGGGUGUCUUCAGCUCAUAUUAUCAUAUUAAGCCACAUUAGGUAUAUACCUUAUUUUCAUUUGGGUCUUAAGUAAAAGUAUAGUUUUGAAAAGUAUGUAAAAUUUUCUAAUUUUUGUUUUAUUGCUCAAUUUUUUGGGGCUUAAUUCUUGCUCUCGUAGCCAACUUACACAAGUAUGUGUUAUUGCGAUCCUUCAAUUCCCUGCAUGCUAUUUCUUAAUAGGGACUGAAAGCAGUUUUAUUAGCCUUUCA